GGGUUGUGAGGUUAAGCGAAUAAGCGUACACGGUGGAUGCCUAGGCAAUCAGAGGCGAUGAAGGACGUGCUAAUCUGCGAAAAGCGUCGGUAAGGUGAUAUGAACCGUUAUACCCGACGAUAUCCGAAUGGGGAAACCCAGUAUCCAAUGGAUACUAUCAUUAACUGAAUCCAUAGGUUAAUGAGGCGAACCGGGAGAACUGAAACAUCUCAGUACCCCGAGGAAAAGAAAUCAACCGAGAUUCCCCUAGUAGCGGCGAGCGAACGGGGAGCAGCCCAGAGUCUUAAUCAAUAGCAGUGUCAGGAGAACGGUCUGGAAAGUCCGGCAGUAAAGGGUGAUAGCCCCGUAUCUGAAGAUGCUGUUAUUGUGAACUCGACGAGUAGGGCGGGACACGUGUUAUCCUGUCUGAAUAUGGGGGGACCAUCCUCCAAGGCUAAAUACUCCUGAUUGACCGAUAGUGAACCAGUACCGUGAGGGAAAGGCGAAAAGAACCCCGGCGAGGGGAGUGAAAAAGAACCUGAAACCGUGUACGUACAAGCAGUAGGAGCCUCUUUAUGGGGUGACUGCGUACCUUUUGUAUAAUGGGUCAGCGACUUAUAUUCUGUAGCGAGGUUAACCGCAUAGGGGAGCCGUAGGGAAACCGAGUCUUAACUGGGCGAAUGAGUUGCAGGGUAUAGACCCGAAACCCGGUGAUCUAUCCAUGGGCAGGUUGAAGGUUGGGUAACACUAACUGGAGGACCGAACCGACUAAUGUUGAAAAAUUAGCGGAUGACUUGUGGAUGGGGGUGAAAGGCCAAUCAAACCGGGAGAUAGCUGGUUCUCCCCGAAAGCUAUUUAGGUAGCGCCUCGUGAACUCAUCUUCGGGGGUAGAGCACUGUUUCGACUAGGGGGUCAUCCCGACUUACCAACUCGAUGCAAACUGCGAAUACCGAAGAAUGUUAUCACGGGAGACACACGGCGGGUGCUAACGUCCGUCGUGAAGAGGGAAACAACCCAGACCGCCAGCUAAGGUCCCAAAGUCAUGGUUAAGUGGGAAACGAAGUGGGAAGGCUCAGACAGCCAGGAUGUUGGCUUAGAAGCAGCCAUCAUUUAAAGAAAGCGUAAUAGCUCACUGGUCGAGUCGGCCCGCGCGGAAGAUGUAACGGGGCUAAACCAUGCACCGAAGCUGCGGCAGCGACACAAAGUGUUGUUGGGUAGGGGAGCGUUCUGUAAGCCUGCGAAGGUGUACUGUGAGGUAUGCUGGAGGUAUCAGAAGUGCGAAUGCUGACAUAAGUAACGAUAAUGCGGGUGAAAAACCCGCACGCCGGAAGACCAAGGGUUCCUGUCCAACGUUAAUCGGGGCAGGGUGAGUCGACCCCUAAGGCGAGGCUGAAAAGCGUAGUCGAUGGGAAACGGGUUAAUAUUCCCGUACUGGUGGUAACUGCGAUGGGGGAACGGAGAAGGCUAGGUUGUCCGGGCGACGGUCGUCCCGGUUCAAGCAGGUAGGCAGAGUGAUUAGGCAAAUCCGGUCACUUAAUGCUGAGAUGUGAUGACGAACCACCAAGGUGGUGAAGCAAUUGAUGCCCCGCUUCCAGGAAAAGCCUCUAAGCUUCAGGUUACCAACAAUCGUACCCCAAACCGACACAGGUGGUCAGGUAGAGAAUACUCAGGCGCUUGAGAGAACUCGGGUGAAGGAACUAGGCAAAAUGGUGCCGUAACUUCGGGAGAAGGCACGCUGGCGGUAGGUAAAGUCCCUCGCGGACAGAGCUGAAGCCAGUCGAAGAUACCAGCUGGCUGCAACUGUUUAUUAAAAACACAGCACUGUGCAAACACGAAAGUGGACGUAUACGGUGUGACGCCUGCCCGGUGCUGGAAGGUUAAUUGAUGGGGUCAGCCGCAAGGCGAAGCUCCUGAUCGAAGCCCCAGUAAACGGCGGCCGUAACUAUAACGGUCCUAAGGUAGCGAAAUUCCUUGUCGGGUAAGUUCCGACCUGCACGAAUGGCGUAAUGAUGGCCAGGCUGUCUCCACCCGAGACUCAGUGAAAUUGAACUCGCUGUGAAGAUGCAGUGUACCCGCGGCAAGACGGAAAGACCCCGUGAACCUUUACUAUAGCUUGACACUGAACAUUGAGCCUUGAUGUGUAGGAUAGGUGGGAGGCUUUGAAGUGUGGACGCCAGUCUGCAUGGAGCCAACCUUGAAAUACCACCCUUUAACGUUUGAUGUUCUAACCUAGGCCCAUAAACUGGGUCGGGGACCGUGUCUGGUGGGUAGUUUGACUGGGGCGGUCUCCUCCUAAAGAGUAACGGAGGAGCACGAAGGUUGGCUAAGCAUGGUCGGACAUCAUGCGGUUAGUGCAAAGGCAUAAGCCAGCUUGACUGCGAGAGUGACGGCUCGAGCAGGUACGAAAGUAGGUCUUAGUGAUCCGGUGGUUCUGAAUGGAAGGGCCAUCGCUCAACGGAUAAAAGGUACUCCGGGGAUAACAGGCUGAUACCGCCCAAGAGUUCAUAUCGACGGCGGUGUUUGGCACCUCGAUGUCGGCUCAUCACAUCCUGGGGCUGAAGUAGGUCCCAAGGGUAUGGCUGUUCGCCAUUUAAAGUGGUACGCGAGCUGGGUUUAGAACGUCGUGAGACAGUUCGGUCCCUAUCUGCCGUGGGCGUUGGAAGAUUGAGAGGGGUUGCUCCUAGUACGAGAGGACCGGAGUGAACGCACCACUGGUGUUCGGGUUGUCAUGCCAAUGGCAUUGCCCGGUAGCUAAGUGCGGAAGAGAUAACCGCUGAAAGCAUCUAAGCGGGAAACUUGCCUCGAGAUGAGUCUUCCCUGUCACUUUAAGUGACCUAAAGGAACGUUUAAGACUAAGACGUUGAUAGGCUGGGUGUGUAAGCGUAGCGAUACGUUGAGCUAACCAGUACUAAUGAACCGUGAGGCUUAACCUGACAACACCGAAAGUGUUUUG
RNAcentral lists this ribosomal RNA (2932 nucleotides) under Proteus mirabilis. RNAcentral's name for it is "23S ribosomal RNA". It matches the Rfam family "Bacterial large subunit ribosomal RNA". Lineage: Bacteria; Pseudomonadati; Pseudomonadota; Gammaproteobacteria; Enterobacterales; Morganellaceae. The record is from RNAcentral.